Strongylocentrotus purpuratus (purple sea urchin) is the source of this 185-nucleotide long non-coding RNA. RefSeq lists it as uncharacterized. Lineage: Eukaryota; Metazoa; Echinodermata; Echinoidea; Camarodonta; Strongylocentrotidae. The record is from RefSeq and is a predicted model, not a curated record. The transcript has 2 exons.
AUAGGAGAUGGAUGGGAUAGAGAUGGUUUCGGUCCUUUCUACUGUGAGGCAUCUAAACCUGAUCGAGAUGUUACAAGGGUCACUACAUUUUUCCAACGAAAUGAUGCUAAAUUCAUAUCAAGUGAUGAAUUAUUUACAAAGACAGUCAAUGUGAAUGACACCGGAGUGAUGAUCAGCAUGACUAG